RNAcentral lists this ribosomal RNA (402 nucleotides) under bacterium. RNAcentral describes it as "partial 16S ribosomal RNA". It matches the Rfam family "Bacterial small subunit ribosomal RNA", at positions 355 to 776 of the family's 1533-position model. The record is from RNAcentral.
UGGGGAAUUUUGCACAAUGGGGGAAACCCUGAUGCAGCGACGCCGCGUGAUUUAGAAGGCCUUCGGGUUGUAAAAAUCUUUUCUAUGGGAAGAAAAUGACAGUACCAUAGGAAUAAGGACCGGCUAAUUACGUGCCAGCAGCCGCGGUAAUACGUAAGGUCCGAGCGUUGUCCGGAAUCAUUGGGCGUAAAGGGUACGUAGGCGGGUAAGCAAGUUAGAAGUGAAAUCCUAUAGCUCAACUAUAGUAAGCUUUUAAAACUGCUCAUCUUGAGGUAUGGAAGGGAAAGUGGAAUUCCUAGUGUAGCGGUGAAAUGCGCAGAUAUUAGGAGGAAUACAGGUGGCGAAGGCGAGUUUCUGGCCAUAACCUGACGCUGAGGUACGAAAGCGUGGGUAGCAAACAGG